RNAcentral lists this non-coding RNA (119 nucleotides) under Mycobacterium fragae. RNAcentral's name for it is "TPP sequence". It matches the Rfam family "TPP riboswitch aptamer (THI element)". From Rfam's summary of the family: Vitamin B(1) in its active form thiamin pyrophosphate (TPP) is an essential coenzyme that is synthesised by coupling of pyrimidine and thiazole moieties in bacteria. The previously detected thiamin-regulatory element, thi box was extended, resulting in a new, highly conserved RNA secondary structure, the THI element, which is widely distributed in eubacteria and also occurs in some archaea. Lineage: Bacteria; Bacillati; Actinomycetota; Actinomycetes; Mycobacteriales; Mycobacteriaceae. The record is from Rfam by way of RNAcentral.
ACUGACCAACACGGGAGUCCCGGGAGCGGGGCUGAGAGUGGGCACACCCAUCAGGACCUGCCCUUACCGUUCGACCUGAUCCGGAUCAUGCCGGCGAAGGGAGCGAAGGAUGCCGAACU